RNAcentral lists this ribosomal RNA (253 nucleotides) under uncultured bacterium. Its description in RNAcentral is "partial 16S ribosomal RNA". It matches the Rfam family "Bacterial small subunit ribosomal RNA", at positions 524 to 776 of the family's 1533-position model. The record is from RNAcentral.
UACGGGGGGGGUAAGCGUUGUUCGGAAUUACUGGGCGUAAAGGGCUCGUAGGCGGCCAACUAAGUCAGACGUGAAAUCCCUCAGCUUAACUGGGGAACUGCGUCUGGUACUGGAUGGCUUGGAUUCGGGAGAGGAAUGCGGAAUUCCAGGUGUAGCGGUGAAAUGCGUAGAUAUCUGGAGGAACACCGGUGGCGAAGGCGGCAUUCUGGACCGAUAUUGACGCUGAGGAGCGAAAGCCAGGGGAGCAAACGGG